AGAGGCUGCAACUAAACUGGAUAUGAAGAACGUGGCUUUACUGAAGAAAAUGUUCAUUUUCUGGGCAAACAGAAGCCAAUCAUAAUAUUGGAAAUCAUACAGUAAUGAAAAGAUAUCCAAAAUUCUUUUAUUUCUAGAUAAUCUCAAGAGAAUACAACUAGUAACUUCACGGGGAGGUGCAAUGACAGAAGACUUCAAUGACCAAGAGGAAAACUGAAAACCUCCAUGAGCAGCGAGAACACCAGUUACUGUCUAGCACUGUCAAGUGAAGAGGGCUCUCUAAGACUACACAACUGCAAAUUUUUAAACGCAAUGAUUUCUAAAGGCAAAAAGAUCUUCUCGGAAAGCAUAUAACCUACUUGAUCAAGAGUCACAGGCUCACUGACUGAGCCAGCUAGGCGCCCCGAGCAUAUAACCUACUUGAGUACUCGACUACAGAAGCUGGUCCAGCCACGGCUCUGAAGCAAGGAUGGGUUUACUUCUCUGCAUGGGCUACUACUGCAAAGCUGGUGAAAAGACCAUGUAAAUAACAACACUCAGGGAUCUACUGUUGAAACUGGCCUUCCCCAAAGUGCAGCAUGUACACAACAUCUCACAGAAGACAGCUGAGAAAUGAAGGCCACAGACAAUGCUGAAGACAAAACAAAGAUUUCCUACCUCAACAAGCCAAAUUUCCUAGAAACUCUGAUUUUACCACUGACAUUCCCGAAGGCGAGUUUGAGAAAGUACUAUUAUUCUGGAAUCAAAAUGAAGAAUUAAGGGUGUGGAGAUGGGUUAAAUAAAUGAUGGGGAUUAAGGAGUGCACUUGG
Molecule: long non-coding RNA, 809 nt
Organism: Suricata suricatta (meerkat)
Lineage: Eukaryota; Metazoa; Chordata; Mammalia; Carnivora; Herpestidae
Exons: 3
Source: RefSeq, a predicted model, not a curated record